GUAAAAUUAAAAUGGGAAUAGUUAAACAUCAACGGGAAGUAGUAGAUUUUUUGACAUCCGCAACAAAAUUAGCGUGAUGACAAGUUGAAGAUCUUUUUACUGGUUGCAGAGGAAACAAACUGGAACGCCAACACCGUACUCAUUUUCCCCAGUAACUCUGAAGAAGUAGAUUCCUCCUUCCUCCAGGUCAGACACCUUAUAGGACAG
This is a long non-coding RNA of Monopterus albus (swamp eel), 207 nucleotides long. RefSeq lists it as uncharacterized. The transcript has 3 exons. The record is from RefSeq and is a predicted model, not a curated record. Lineage: Eukaryota; Metazoa; Chordata; Actinopteri; Synbranchiformes; Synbranchidae.